RNAcentral lists this ribosomal RNA (492 nucleotides) under uncultured bacterium. RNAcentral's name for it is "partial 16S ribosomal RNA". It matches the Rfam family "Bacterial small subunit ribosomal RNA", at positions 29 to 507 of the family's 1533-position model. The record is from RNAcentral.
AGUGAACGCUGGCGGUAGGCCUAACACAUGCAAGUCGAACGGCAGCACAGUAAGAGCUUGCUCUUACGGGUGGCGAGUGGCGGACGGGUGAGGAAUACGUCGGAAUCUACUUUUUCGUGGGGGAUAACGUAGGGAAACUUACGCUAAUACCGCAUACGACCUACGGGUGAAAGCAGGGGAUCUUCGGACCUUGCGCGAUUGAAUGAGCCGAUGUCGGAUUAGCUAGUUGGCGGGGUAAAGGCCCACCAAGGCGACGAUCCGUAGCUGGUCUGAGAGGAUGAUCAGCCACACUGGAACUGAGACACGGUCCAGACUCCUACGGGAGGCAGCAGUGGGGAAUAUUGGACAAUGGGCGCAAGCCUGAUCCAGCCAUACCGCGUGGGUGAAGAAGGCCUUCGGGUUGUAAAGCCCUUUUGUUGGGAAAGAAAAGCAGCAGAUUAAUACCCCGCUGUUCUGACGGUACCCAAAGAAUAAGCACCGGCUAACUUCGUG